UUUUUUGUUUUUUGUUUCUUUUUUUUUUUUUGGGGCCUUCUCUUUUUUUGGCAUUUCCUUUUUUUAUUUCCUCACAUGGGACAAUGCUCUAAUAAUGAAGAUCGUCACACUUUUAUUUACUUACAACUCAAGAAUUACAACUCGAUAGUUAGAACAAAAUAUGACUCUAUAUGAAUGCCUCCGGCGGUGUACCGGGAUGUGCAAUGAAUCAAGAGUGACAUGUAUGAAAUAAUUAUGAAUGGUGGCUUUGCCACAAAUACGAUCAACUACAUGAUCAUGCAAAACAAUAUGAUAAUGAUGAAGUGUGUCAUAAUAAGAGAAACGGUGGAAAGUUGCAUGACAAUAUAUCUUGGAAUGGCUAUGGAAAUGCCAUAAUAGGUAGGUAUAUAUGGUGGCUAUUUUGAGGAAGGUAUAUGGUGGGUUUCUGGUACCGGCGAAAUUUGUGCGGCACUAGAGAGGCUAGCGAUGGUGGAAGGGUGAGAGUGUGUAUAAUCCAUGGACUCAACAUUAGUUAUAAAGAACUCACAUACUUAUUGCAAAAAUCUAUUAGUCAUAGAAACAAAGUACUAUGCGCAUGCUCCUAGGGGGGUAGAUUGGUAGGAAAAGACCAUCGCUCUUCCCCGACCGCCAUUCAUAAGGAAGACAAUCAUUAAAUACCUCAUGCUCCAACUUCGUUAUAUAAAGGUUCACCAUACAUGCAUGCUACGGGAAUCACAAACAUUAACACAAGUAUUUCUCAAAUUCACAAUUACUCACUAGCAUGACUCUAAUAUCACCAGCUUCAUAUCUCAAAACAAUCAUAAGGAAUCAAACUUCUCAUAGUAUUCAAUGCACUUUAUAUGAAUUUUUUAUUAUAUUCCUCUUGGAUGCCUAUCAUAUUAGGACUAAAUUCAUAACCAAAGCAAAUUACCAUGCUGUUUAGAGACUCUCAAAAUAAUAUAAGUGAAGCAUGAGAGUUCAUCCAUUUCUACAAAGUAAAACUACCAUCGUGCUCUAAAAAGAUAUAAGUGAAGCACUAGAGCAAAUGACAAACUACUCCAAAAGAUAUAAGUGCAGAUCAAUGAGUAGUCAAAUGAUUAUGCAACUAUGUGAAGACUCCUUCUCAUAAAUAAAAUUUCAGAUCUUAAGUACUUUAUUCAAACAUCAAGAAAAACAAAAUAAAAUGACAUUGCAAGGAUAGCACAUAUCAUGUGAAGAAGCAAAAACUUAGGCUCAACCAAAACUGACCGAUAGUUGUUGAAGAAGAAAGGCGGGAUGCCUACUGGGGCAUCCCCACGCUUAGGUGCUUGAGACUUCUUGGAAUAUGAACUAGGGAUGCCUUGAGAAUCCCCAAGCUUGAGCUUUUGUGUCUCCUUAAUUACUUUUGUAUCGCGGUUUCCCUAAAUCUCAAAAACUUCAUCCACACAAAACUCAACAAGAACUCGUGAGAUAAGUUAGUAUAAAUCCAUGCUAAACCUUAUCAUUCUCUACUGUAGAAAGUCACUAAAAUUAUAAUUUGAUAUUGCCUACUAAAUGCCUCUCCAUAUUUAAUAGUCCUAUCCUCAAAUAGAAUCAUUAAACAAGCAAACAUAUGCAAUCAUAAUAGCAAUCUGUCUAAACAGGAUAGUCUAUAAAGAAUGCAAGAGGAAUCAUACUUCUUUAACUCCAAAAAUUCUGAAAAAUUACCACACUGUAGAUAAUUUUUUGUUACUUAUUGUGCAAAAAUAUCAAGAUUUUUUCAUGUUCUGACUAUUCACAAAUAUUCAAAACAUAACAGCAAACUUUCUGUGUUUAAAACAACAACAUAUGGACUUGCAAAAUAAGCAUGGUAAAGGCUAUACUUGACCUUUUUAUUGAACUAAAAGAUGCAAAACAUUACUCUAAAUAACAACAAGCAAAUCCUAAUAAAGGAAAAUGACGCUCCAAGCAAAACACAUAUCAUGUGGUGAAUAAAAAUAUAGCCUCAAGUAAAGUUACUGAUGAACGAAGACGAAAGAGAGGAUGCCAUCCGGGGCAUCCCCAAGCUUAGAUGCUUGGUUGUCAUUGAAUAUUACCUUGGCGUGCCUUGGGCAUCCCCAAGCUUAGGCUCUUUCCACUCCUUAUUCCAUAGUCCAUCGAAACUUUACCCAAAACUUGAAAACUUCACAAUACAAAACUUAACGGAAAACUCAUAAGCUCAGUUAGUAUAAUAAAGCAAAUCGCCACUUAGGUGCUUUCAAGAAAAGAUUCAUAAUUUUUCACACAUUAUGCAUACUCUACCCUAUCAUUUCUACAAUUUAUAUUAAGAAAUAUAAUCCAUAGAAACUAGAAAAUAAGCAAACUAUGCAUCAAAAACAGAACAAUCUGUAGUAAUUUGUAACUCUCGAAUACUUCUGUAACUCCAAAAAUUCUGAAAAAUUAGGACAGCCUAAGAAAUUUGUUUAUUAAUCUUCUGUAAAAAGAAUCAGUAUUUUAUCACGCUUCUGUUAAAAAUUAGAAUUGUUUUCCUGAGCGCAAAAGUUUCUGUUUUUCAGCAAGAUCAAAUCAACUAUCACCAUAGAUCAUCCCAAAAGUCUUACUUGGCACUUUAUUGAAACAAAAGCUAUAAAACAUGAUCACUGCAGUAGCUUAAUCGUGUGAACACACAAAAACAGUAGGUAUAAUUGUUGGGUUGUCUCCCAACAAGCGCUUUUUCUUUAUUGCCUUUCUAGCUAGGCAUGAUGAUUUCAAUGAUGCUCACAUAAAAGAUAAGAAUUGAAACAUAAUGGGAGCAUCAUGAAGAAUUUGACUAGCACAUUUAAGUCUAAUCCACUUCCUAUGUAUAGAGUUUUUGUGAGAAAACAACUUACGGAAGCAAGAAUCAACUAGCAUAAGAAGGUAAAACAAGCAUAACUUCAAUAUUUUCAACACAUAAAGAGGAAACUUGAUAUUAUUGCAACUCUUACAAGCAUAUAUUCCUCCUUCAAAAUAAUUUUCAGUAGCAUCAUGAAUGAAUUCAACAAUAUAGGUAUCACAUAAACCAUUCUUUUCAUGAUCUACAAGCAUAGAAAUUUUACUACUCUCCACAUAAGCAAAAUUCUUCUCAUUCAUAGUAGUGGGAGCAAACUCAACAAAAUAUCUAUCAUGUGAGGCAUAAUCCAAUUGAAAAUUAAAAUCAUGAUGACAAGUUUCAUGGUUAUCAUUAUCCUUUAUAACAUACAUGUCAUCACAAUAAUCAUCAUAGAUAGGAGGCAUCCUUUCAUCAUAAUGAAUUUGCACAUCAAAAUCCGGGGGACUAAAAAUAUCAUCUUCAUCAAACAUAGCAUCCCCAAGCUUGUGGCUUUGCAUAUCAUUAGCAUCAUGGAUAUUCAAGGAAUUCAUACUAACAACAUUGCAAUCAUGCUCAUCUUUCAAAGAUUUAGUGCCAAACAUUUUAAUGCAUUCUUCUACUAACACUUUGGCACAAUUAUCGGAAUCCUUAUUUUCACGAAAGACAUUAAAAAGAUGAAGCAUAUGAGGCAACCUCAAUUCCAUUUUUGUAGUUUUCUUCUAUAGACUAAACUAGUGAUAAAACAAGAAACUAAAAGGUUCAAUUGCAAGAUCUAAAGAUAUACCUUCAAGCACUAACCUCCCCGGCAAUAGCGCCAGAAAGAUCUUUGUUGACGGUAUGUGAGUACCGCUUACCUAGCCCCCCCCCCAGCAAUGGCGCCAGAAAUGAGCUUGAUGUCUACUACACAACCUUCUUCUUAUAGACUUGUGUCGGGCCUCCAAGCGCAGAGUUUUGUAGGACAGUAGGAAAUUUCCCUCAAGUGGAUGAUCUAAGGUUUAUCAAUCCGUGGGAGGCAUAGGAUGAACAUGGUCUCUCUCAAAAAACCCUACAACCAAAUAAAAAAGAGUCUCUUGUGUCCCCAACACACCCAAUACAAUGGUAAAUUGUAUAGGUGCACCAGUUCAGCGAACAGAUGGUGAUAAAAGUGCAAUAUGGAUAGUACAUAUAGGUUUUUGUAAUCUGAAAAUAUAAAAACAGCAAGGUAGCAAGUAACAAAAGUGAGCAAAGACGGUAUUGCAAUGCUUCAAAAUAAGGCCUAGGGUUCAUAAUUUCACUAGUGCAAGUUCUCUCAACAAUGAUAACAUAAUUAGAUCAUAUAACAACCCCUCAACAUGCAACAAGGAGUCACUCCAAAGUCACUAAUAGCGGAGAACAAACGAAGAGAUUAUUGUAGGGUAUGAAACCACCUCAAAGUUAUUCUUUCUGAUCAAUCUAUUGGGAUAUUCCUAUAAGUGUCACAAACAGCCCUAGAGUUCAUACUAAAAUAACACCUUAAGACACACAUCAACCAAAACGCUAAUGUCACCACAAGUAUCCGCGGGUUUGAUUAUACAAUAUGCAUCACACAAUCUCAGAUUCAUCUAUUCAAACCAACACAAAGAACUUCAAAGCGUGCCCCAAAGUUUCUACCGGAGAGUCAAGGCGAAAACGUGUGCCAACCCCUAUGCAUAAGUUCACAAGGUCACAGAACCAGCAAGUUGAUCACCAAAUCAUACGUCAAGUAGAUCACGUGAAUAUCCCAUUGUCACCAUAGAUAAACACAUGCAAGACAUACAUCAAGUGUUCUCAAAUCCUUAAAGACUCAAUCUGAUAAGAUAACUUCAAAGGGGAAACUUAAUCCAUUACAAGAAGGUAGAGGGGGGGGAAACAUCAUAAGAUCCAACUAUCAUAGCAAAGCUUGCGGUACAUCAAGAUCGUGCCAACUCAAGAACACGAGAGAGAGAGAGAGAGAGAGAGAGAGAGAGAGAGAUCAAACACAUAGCUACUGGUACAUACCUUCAGCCCCGAGGGUGAACUACUCCCUCCUCGUCAUGGAGAGCGUCGUGAUGAUGAAGAUGGCCACCGGUGAUGAUUCUCCCCUCCGGCAGGGUGCCGGAACAGGGUCCCGGUUGGUUUUUGGUGCCUACAGAGGCUUGCGGCAUCGGAACUCCCGAUCUAGGUUCUGUUCGGGUUUUUUUUGGGGAUUUAUAAGAGGUGUUGACGUCGGGAACAAGUUAGGGGGACCCACGAGGCAGCCAUAAGGUCGGGGGCGCGCCCUAGGGGGGCCCUCCACCCUUGUGGUGGCCUCGGGACUCUUGUCUGGUAUCUUUUCGUUCCACUAUUUUUUAUAUUUUCCAAAAAUAAUCUCUAUAAAUUUUCAGGUCAAUUGGACUCCGUUUGAUAUUCCUUUUUUGCGAAACUCAAAAAUAGGGAAAAACAGAAAUUGGCACUGGGCUCUAGGUUAAUAGGUUAGUCCCAAAAAUCAUAUAAAAUAGCAUAUAAAUGCAUAUAAAACAUCCAAGAUAGAUAAUAUAAUAGCAUGGAACAAUCAAAAAUUAUAGGUACGUUGGAGACGUAUCAACGGGGUAGCGGUGGCCUCCGUCAUGCCUGCCUUCAACGCGCAGGGGCUUGUGGUGCUCACGCUCCUCAACUCCCCGGUGUUGGUGUCCUCCGGCCAGGUCUCCGGGAAGGAAGGGAACUCAGAGGCGACCCUGGAGGAGGUGGGGGAGAGCUCUCCCCCAUGGCAGAGCGAGCUCCUCCGCGGUCUCUCUGAUGAUGAUGAUGCUGGCGAAUAUCUGGUUGAGGGUUCCCCGCGCUCCAUCGGGGGUAUCAUGAGGUCCGGGAACCCCUUUGCGGAGGCCGGGAUGAGGGACCCCGGAGAAGGGCAAGGCUAUAUUGCUUCCCUGGGGCAACGCACCCGCCUUGCCGCCCGUUGCCGCUACUCCAGAGCCAGCCGAUCUUGAGGGUGCGGCGAGGCCUGUGAUGAAGAAGCUUGGAGGCGCCGCGCUCCUGUCCAAGAGGCGGGCGUAUGUUGCUGACGACGAGUAAGUACUUCACCUUGCAUUUGCUCCCUAUCUUUGAUGUCGUGCUCAUGAGGUUCUCGUCCUAGUGGCCAGGCUACAGCCAAUGGUGAAGAGGAAGAGGGAGGAGGCCAGGGCCUCUAAGGCCACGUGUCCUGCUGUGGUCACGACGACCCCGACGCGGGAGGAAGGGCCCGCCCCACGUCUUCCCACGACAGAGCGAGCCUCUCGGGGCUCGGCAGCCCAGCCUCGGGAGAAGACUGCCUCUAUGGCCAAGCCGACUCCGGGGGCGUCCGUCUCCAUAGCACCCGCUGGGGGUUCGAGGGCUCUGGAGCCCCCUGCCAUCCUUGCCGCUUCUACAUCGCCAGCCCAGGCGUCGGUGUCACCUCCUCCCCAAGUCCUAAAGUUGGCGGAUCAUGGCUCCUAUGCCUUGCCCAGUGCUUUGGAGGAGGCCUUCAUCGUGUUGGGCCGGCUCCGGACAGAUCUUCAGGGCGCCGACCGGCGCGUGGUGGUGGGGCACCUGGAGCUGAUCUCCGGGUGGCUUCAGGCCGACUCGUCCAUCAGGACGGCCUGGGGUCAGGCCGAGGCCGCCGUCACGGAGGGCAAGAGGGGGACCGGUGAAGCCAUAGCAACUCAUGAUACGACGCUCAACGAGGCGGCGUCUACCAAGGAGCGCUGCCGUACAGUGGAGGCCGAGCUGAAGGCCCUCCGUGAUGAGCAGGCUGCCCGCACCCGUCAGCUCAAGGAGCAGGAGGAGGAACUGAAGGCCCGGGAGAUGGCACUCGCCAACCGCGAUGCCGAAUUGGAGCAGGUAUCCCAGGAACAGGCUGCGGAGCGGAACCGCCUGGGGAAGCUAAAGGAGGAGCUGGAGGCGGCCCAGGCGUCCCACACCAAGCUUGUCUCCGAGGAGAAGGCCGGGCUGGAGGCCAGGGAGAAGUCCCUCGUCGCGGCUGAGCAGGCGGUCGCCACAGGGUGCAACGCCUUUGUCUCCAUCGAGUCGAGGUCCCACGCGGCGCUGUAGGACCUUUACGAGGAAGGGUAUGAGAAGCCGUUGGCGACUCUAGAGGAAGGCCUCGCCGGGCUGCUCCCCAAGCUUGCUGUGGUGCUCGAGGGCAUCAUCGUCGGAGGGGGCCCCAUGGUGGAGGAAGAGGCUCGCACGCUUUUUACCUUGGUUGCAACGGGCAUCUUCAGCCACCUCCACCUUCGGGCCCCCAUCUUUCACCUUGGUGUGUUGCUCGAACCCGUGGCCCCUGAGCUCCACGAUGCUGCCGCUGAGGCCGUGAAGAAGCAGGUGGAGGCCCUGCUGCAGAAGUUCCUCUGCGUUGACCCCGCGACCGCGACUGGUGGCAAGGACGGCGGCCGUUGUUGAUGACGGGCCUCCCCAGGCGAGCGAUGGCGGUGUCCAAGGCUGAGGAAGAGGCUCGAAGGUGGCGCUUCCCCCUAUUUUAUUCCUGCAACAUUUUAUCGUGCCUUGUGGAGGCGUAAAAACUUAUGCUUUGAGUUUCAAGAGACAUUAUGUUUUGUAAUAAUUUGCUAGGAUUUCGUGACUUCCUUUCCGCUUGCUUUAGUGUUCUGCGUCGGCAGGGCCCAGCCCUGCGCAUACCUCAGCCGCCGUUGGGGCGUCCGGAUCACCAGGACGAGACCAAGGGGUGAGGGGCUACGUGACCGGUUAGGCCCCUGGGUCGUGAUGCCCAGAGGUCCUCCUUGACAUAUGGAAAGCUUUCAAGAAGGAGGCGUGACUGUUGUUUUUAGUGUUCUGCAUCGGUAGGGCCCGGCCCCGCGCAUACCUCAGCCAUCGUUGGGGCGUCCGGAUCACCAGGAUGAGACCAUGGGGUGAGGGGCUACAUGACCAGUUAGGCCCCUGAGUCGCGAUGCUCAGGGGUCCCCCUUGACGUACGAACAGCCCUCCAUACCUUUCCUCACCGGGCUUUCUCUCAAGAGGGACGCGAGAAGACCAGGUCCAAGGGACCUGGUGAGGUGGCGUAUGCCAGACAUGACCUGACCAUAGCCCCCGUGCACAGCCCCCUUGCGCGACCCUCCUGAGGGGAAGGCAUUGCGGUGAGACUGAGCAACGAGCCUGGUGGCUCUCCUGAGGUUGAUGUAGCCUCUAGGUUGCCCUCAGUUGUUUAUUCACUAGCACGGAGCAUGGUGCUUCCGCUCUUGCAUGGGCAUAGCCGCUCCUCGACCAUGUCAUCCACCAGCCUGGAGCAUGGGGCUUCCACUGGUUUGUGGGUGGGAGCUCCCUCUGAGAGGAGACUCUAGGAUGUGUACAACCCCGUCCUGGCACAUGGCUUGCACGACAGGACUAGAGGAGGUGUAUAUGGGCACUCGUGAGCUUGCACGGGACUGAUGAGCCCCUACCUCAAGGAGGGUUGCGCCUGAAUUUGAUUUGGAACACUUGUGAUGGUCCUGCGAGAUGGUUAGGCAACCUGCACCGAGUGAAUCUAUGAGGAUAUCGCAUGAGAAGGCCAAACACCAACGACCCCAAGAGGUGACGUGAACGGGACCAGCCCGCCAGACAGAGCUCAACCGUUGGGUUUGUCGAUGCUGCAGGGACUGACCUGAGAACAGACGUCGUGCCCAGUCUUCUCAUGCGAAGGUCCUCAAGAAAGACAACCGGCACGCGGCUCCCGCGGCGGCGAGGCACCGGGUCGUGCACCCUAACUUAUCUGUUCCCGAUUAGCUCAUGCGAGAACAAGGCACCAAGGACCAUGGGAGGUGACGUGCACGGGAGCUGUCCCACGAGCCAGAGCUCAGCCACUUGGGUUUAGCGACGCUGCAGGGACGGACCCGAGCACAGAUGCCGUGCCAGUCCUUAAUCACGAGGCAGGCGUGGGGGGGUUUGUAAGGGCAUACGAUGUUCAUGCCGACGAAGCGCCGGACAGACAGGUUAUAAUCAUAAAGCAACUCAUGGAAGGGUAAGGCCAGUUCUGAUAGAUGCAAAGAACGAUAAUGCCGCAGGGACAGACCCACAUGACUUGGGUAUAAUGCAGCCCAAGGGGCGCCCCCAACUGAAUAAACCAAAAAGUGUCACCUGGCACCGUUGCUGAAGAAGUGUUGGAGUAGCUGAAGACGCGCACUGCAGAAGUCGCUCCUCAUGAGUCGUCCAGGUCCUGAACCUCGUGAGGCUCUGGAGGCCCGGGGGCUCGCGAGGAUCCAAGGCUACCUCCGCUAGGAUCACUUGGUGCCUGGCCUCAUGAGCCGCCAGGACGCCCCGCAUGUGGUGCUGGUGUGUGGCAGCCUUGUUCAGCAAACCGAAAGGCAUGCGAACGUAGCUGCGAGGGGGGCCACCGCACCGACCAACAUGGGACGGCCAGAAGAGCUCCUGAGACACGACUCUGUUGAGCCCUGGGAUGUUGACGCAGACACGCAGCUCACUGCCCUCGUCAGGGGAGGGAGCCGUGUUGCGUGGUGCAGGGCAACGGUUGCCUCGCAUGGCUCUUGCCUCCUGAAGCUCCUUGGUUGCCUUGGUGAUGAACUCCUGAGCACUUGGCGCCUCGCGCCCUGCGCCCUCCUCAUGGAAACACGCGUUGAAGCACGCCUCCACAUGGUGCCCGAGUGCCUCCCUCGUGACGUUGGCCAGGUCAGAGGCCCUCCAGAGGAGAGCCCCCGAGCCCAGCUGUAACACCCUCGAUGCGACUAUAUCUCCCACGUGUCGAGGCACGACUUAGAGGCAUAAUCGCAUUGAAGGCAUAUGUCGCAAGUUAGGCAAUCUUCACAACAUCCCAUGUAAUAUAAAUAAUAAAGGGGAGAUAACAUAGUUGGCUUACACUCGCCACGUCAAUCAAGUACAUAAAUAACAUUACAUCAUCCAAACACUCAUGGCCCGACUACGGCACCAAAAUAAAAGAUAACCCAACAUGCGACAACGGUCCCGUUCACCCCCAACUGGGCACCACUACUGAUCAUCGGGAAAGGAAACAUAGUAUUGUUGAGGAGUCUUCGUCGAACUCCCACUUGAGCUCAUACACGUCUCCUGGAGCGGAAUCAUCAGGGCCUGCAUCUGGUGUAAUAGUAAUCUGUGAGCCACAGGGACUCAGCAAUCUCGCACCCUCGCGAUCAAGACUAUUUAAGCUUAUAGAUAAGGCAAGGUAAAUAUAUGUGGAGCUGCAGCAAGCGACUAGCAGGUAUGGUGGCUAACUUAUUCGCAAAAGAGAGCGAGAAGAGGAGGCAAAGCACGAGCGAGAAACUAGAGAACAACCUGCGCAAACAUUACUCCAACACCGUGUCCACUUCCUAGACUCCGCCGAGAAGAGGCCAUCACGGUAACACACUCGGUUGAUUCAUUUUAAUUAAGUUAAGGUUCAAGUUAUCUACAACCGGACAUUAACAAAUUCCCAUCUGCCAAUAACCGCGGGCACGGCUUUCGAAAGUUCAAUCCCUGCAGGGGAGUCCCAACUUAGCCCAUGACAAGCUCUCACGGUCAACGAAGGAAUAAACCUCCUCCCAAGACGUUCCGAUCAGACUCGGUAUCUCGGUAAUUCAAGACACUUCGACAGGUUAAAACAAGACCAGCAACACCGCCCGAAUGUGCCGACAAAUCCCGAUAGGAGCUGCACAUAUCUCGUUCUCAGGGCACACUCAGAUAGGUCAAGCUACGAGUAAAACCAACCCUCAAGUUUCCCCAAGGUGGCCCCGCAGGCUGCCCGGUUCGGACCAACACUCAGAGGAGCACUGGCCCGGGGGGGUUAAAAUAAGAUGACCCUCGGGCUCCGGUAACCCAAGGGAAAAAGAGGCUAGGUGGAGAAUGGUAAAACCAAGGUUGGGCAUUGCUGGAAAAGCUUUAAUCAAGGCGAACUAUCAAGGGGUUCCCAUUAUAACCCAACCGCGUAAGGAACGCAAAAUCCGGGAACAUAACACGGAUAUGACGGAAAACUAGGGCGGCAAGAGUGGAACAAAACACUAGGCGAGAGGCCGAGCCUUCCACCCUUUACCAAGUAUAUAGAUGCAUUAAGAUAGCAAGAUAAUAUAAUGAUAUCCCAACAAGUAAAUAAUUGUUCCAACAAGGAACGCCUUCAAUCUUCACCUGCAACUAGCAACGCUAUAAGAGGGGCUGAGCAACGCGGUAACAUAGCCAAUCAACGGUUUGCUAGGACAUGGUGGGUUAGAGGUUUGACAUGGCAAUUUGGGAGGCUUGAAAGCAAGUGGUAGGCAUCGUAGCAAUGGCAUAGCAAAAGAGCGAGCAAACUAGCAUAGCAAAGAUAGUAGUGAUUUCGAGGGUACGAUCAUCUUGCCUGCACAGUUAUCAGAGUUGACUGGAUCCUCGAAAGCAAACUCAACGAGCUCCUCAUUAGCGAACUCAUCUCCCGGCUCUACCCAAACAAGACAAACAAGCAACAAGGGCACAAUCAACCACGUGCAAACUCAAACAACACAAUGCAAAGAUGAUAUGCUAUGCGGGAUGCGAUGCGGGAUGCAAAAUGCAAGAUAUGACAGGAAAUGCAUGAACCUGGCCUCAACUUGGAAAUCCAAGUGUGCCACUGGAAAGAUGAGACUAAAUCGCUUGAAAACUAUAUAAAGAACGCCGGAAUCGGAGUUACGGUUUGGAAAUGGCAAGCGAUUCAAAUAUGACACCGGUCUGCGAUUUACAGCAAGUAGCCAACUAAAUGCAAUGAGAUGAACAUGCUACAGCAACCAAACAUGACAAAAAAAGGCAUGGCAGGGAUGCAUUCAAGAUGCUUAACAAAAGUCUAGCACUGAGCUACGGCCAAUUCAUCCAUUAACAUGUUCAAACAAGCAUGGCAAAAAUGCAUAUGGCAAACAAAUCUCAGACUUAGUGAAAUUAACACUUGUCUGGAAUUUCAGAUCAGGUAGCCCUCUUCGGAGCCACAAAACUACAAGCUACAGGAUAUGAACAUGGCAAAGUAAAGCAUGGCAUGGAGCUACUCAAAGAUCUUAACAAAAGUCCCUUAGUGACCUUGAGCCAAAAGGGAUCAGAAAAUACAAUUGCAAGCAUGUGAACAUAGCAAAAACAUAAUCAGUUUUCAGACUUAGUGAAAACUGGCACAUGCUGAAACAUAACUCAAGUAGGCAUGUUUAUGAGCUCGAUGCACUCACUACGGUGCAAGUCAUGGCAAGACAAGCAUACAUCCAUCAAGAAGGCACAAAAUGCAAGCUAGACAUGGCAAGAACAAUAGCAUAGCAUGCACGGAUCGACUACAACACCAUCGGCAAAAUUGCAAACAAGUUGACAAUCUGCCCAGAUUCACAGAGUAGCAAAAGUAGAGCUCGAUUGACUCAAGCUAGGGUGCUCCAUAAUUGCAAACAAAGAUAUGGAUAGAUAGAGCACUACAAGAUUAACAAAACAUCCUUACUGAUCAUCCUCAAAAGAGGCACGGAUCACUAGGAAACAACAUGAACAUAUGGCAUCAUGAGAUAAAUAGCUCCAGGACUUAGUGGAAAUGCUAAGUCCCUGAAAACAGAAUUACUAAGUGCACCACUUUGCAAGCUUGCACUAGUCACCUCACACAUCACAAAAAUACAUGGGUUGCACCUCUGGAAAGAUGACAAAACCCUUAACAAAACACAUGUAGAGCAUCAGGGCAUAUCAUGCACACAUUAAUCAUGGCAAAAAUGACAAAAACCUAAACGGAGCAGCAGAUCUGACAAUAAUCUCAAGUAGCCCUCUUCUAACAGCAUUUAGGGCAUCAAGAUGAACUCAAAUGAAAAUGAUGCAAUGGAAUGAAAUGAUGUACUCUCUGAGAUGAACAUUUUGAUAUGCUAUAUGCAUGAAUCGGAGCUACGGAUGCAAAGUUACGGAGCCACGAACAUGAGCACUUGAACUGAAAAUUUCAGGGACUUAGACAAAAAUUCAACCUCCCAGAUCUAGGGUUUCGGCGGCACGCAAUCCGAGGCAAGUCCGGCGAGCUCCUGGCGGCUCUGGCGAGUGAAGAGGCGGCGGGGAGGCGAGGGAGAGGUGGAUCCGGUCCGUCCCGACCGGAUCCGGCGGCGGGUGGCGGUCUCCGGCCACCAGAGAUGGUGAGAAGGCGCGGGGCAGCGAUGCUCGCGGUGGCCGGGGCGAGAUCUGGCCGNNNNNNNNNNNNNNNNNNNNNNNNNNNNNNNNNNNNNNNNNNNNNNNNNNNNNNNNNNNNNNNNNNNNNNNNNNNNNNNNNNNNNNNNNNNNNNNNNNNNNNNNNNNNNNNNNNNNNNNNNNNNNNNNNNNNNNNNNNNNNNNNNNNNNNNNNNNNNNNNNNNNNNNNNNNNNNNNNNNNNNNNNNNNNNNNNNNNNNNNNNNNNNNNNNNNNNNNNNNNNNNNNNNNNNNNNNNNNNNNNNNNNNNNNNNNNNNNNNNNNNNNNNNNNNNNNNNNNNNNNNNNNNNNNNNNNNNNNNNNNNNNNNNNNNNNNNNNNNNNNNNNNNNNNNNNNNNNNNNNNNNNNNNNNNNNNNNNNNNNNNNNNNNNNNNNNNNNNNNNNNNNNNNNNNNNNNNNNNNNNGCGAGGGAGGCGAGCCCGGGCGGCGGCGGCGGAGAACGGGCCCUCGGGGGCCGGCCUUGGGCUUCCCGGGCCCGGCGGUGCGGCGAGCGGCGAGCGCCACGUGGCAGAACACCACUGGUGCGGAGGCGACGGCGCGGAGUGUCCGCCCCGGGCGGACAAUGUCCGUCGACGGCGCGGUGGAUUUUAGGGUUUGGACGGGGGAGGAUCCGGAUUUUUCGAGAGGGGUUUAUAUAUAGGCAUAGGAGGAGCUAGGAGAGUCCAAAUGAGGUGCGGUUUUCGGCCACGCGAUCGUGAUCGAACGCUCUAGAUGAUGGAGAGGGCUUAGGUGGGUUUUGGGCCAAAUUGGAGGGGUGUUGGGCUGCAACACACAUGAGGCCUUUUCAGUCCCUUGGUUAACGGUUGGAGUAUCAAACGAAGUCCAAAUGAUACGAAACUUGACAGGCGGUCUACCGGUACUAAACCAAGGCCGCUUGGCAAGUCUCGGUCCGAUCCGGAAAUGUUUAAUCCCCACACACGAAAGAAAGCUAGAAAUGACCACCGGAGGAGAACGAAGCGCCGGAAUGCAAAACGGACAACGGGGAAAAUGCUCGAAUGCAUGAGACGAACACGUAUGCAGAUGCAAUGCACAUGAUGACAUGAUAUGAGAUGCAUGACAACGACAACAACACACAGAGACAAAGACCUGAACCCGAGGAAAUAAAUAUUAACUUAACACCGGAAAUGGCAAGAGUUGGAGUACAAAUUGGGAAAGUUACAUCCGGGGUGUUACACCAGCCUAAGAGGGGCGCCAGGCGCACCUUCCUAUGGGAGAGGGGAAGGCGCCCCGUUAGUGGGCGCAGGUCCCGGAGCACGGCCGUCAAACGCCCCAUCCUCCUGAGGUCCUAGGUGGAGCAGCUGCUUCUUCUUCUUGGGGACGGCCUCAGGAGGGUAGGCAGCGCCCUCGUCAUCUGGGUUCUCGACCGCCGCAGCUUGGUAGGCGCGCUCGAGGGAGCACACCACGUCCUUUUCAUCGCAGGCGACCGUGAUAAUGCCUCCGCUCCCUAGCAUCUUGACGACAUUGUAGCCAUGAUAAGUCAUAGCCAUGAACUUGGCCAGGGCCGGAUACCCAAGGAUGACGUUGUACGGGAGGCGAAUGUGGGCAACGUCGAAGUCGAUGAGCUCAGUGCGGUAGUUGUCGCGCUUGCCAAAGGUGACAAGGAGGCGGAUCUGCCCUAUCGGGGUAGUGGAGCCAUCAGUCACCCUCGAGAAAGGCUUGGUAGGCUGAAGCUGGUCAUACGGCACCUGGAGCCAGUCGAACGUCUUGACAGAGAGGCCAUUGAGUCCCGCGCCGCCAUCGACGAGUGUCUUGGUGACCAGGACGUCACUGAUGGUGGGCGAGAAGAGCAUCGGGAGGGCGCCGGCAGUGGCCGCGCACUUGAGCUGAUCAGUAGAGUCGAAGGUGAUGGCGUACUGGGACCACCUGAGCGGACGUGUUUCCUCGAGCUUCGGGUGGGCCGCAUUCACCCCGCGAACGAACUGCUUGAAGAUGCAAUGAGAGGCAAGGGCCUGAGUGCCGCCUAAGAUGCAAGCGAUGGCACAAGGCUCUUGGAAGCCCAUGGCCCCAUCAUCUUGGUGGUGUUCUUCAUCCCUCCUUGGUGGUGGUGGCAGCGGAGGAAGGCCAGUGUUGCCAUGAGGACGGUCCUCACGAGGCUGAUCCCUCCAGGCGCCCUCGCGAAGCUGGCCCUGCCAGCGGUCCUCACGAGGCUGAUCACGCCAGUCUUGGCGGGGUCGCGGUUGUCCCAGCGUCCCCUGCCUUGGCCUCCACCACGGCCAUAGCCUCGGUCGUUGCGCUCGAGGCGGCAACCGAGGUGCCCGUCGCGGAUGGCCUUGAGCUCUUGGCAGUCAUUGUUUGUUGUGGCUGUGCACAUUGUAGAAGAUGUAGAACGGGCGGUUGCCCUUGGAUGACUCUGGGUGGUCGCAGCCACGCUUCAUCUCAGGUUCAGCCGCGAGCACAUCUGGACCCUUGCGCUUCACGUCCUUGGCCUUCUUAUCUUCUAGGUCCUUUGAAAGCUCAAGGAGGGAGAGGCGACCUUCCUCAGCCCUUGCACACCUGGUUGCCAUGUUGAACAUCUCCAGAGCCGAGCACAGGUCCUCGUGUAUGGCAAGCUCUUUCUUCAUCUUGACAUCUAGGACGCCAUCGGUGAACGCCGAAAUGAUGGCCUCAUCUGAUACCUUGGGAAUCUUUAGGCAAAUGUUGGUGAAAUGUUGGAUGCAUUUGUGCAAGGUCUCCCCUGGCUACUGCUUGAUGCACCGUAGGUCACCCGCGGUAGGAGCGCGGUCACGAGUACCCUGGAAGUUGGCGAUGAAAUGCUCGCGCAUCUCAUCCUAGGAGGAGAUCAAUCCUGCGGGGAGGUUCAGGAGCCACGAGCGCGCGCCAUCCUUGAGGGCCAUGGGAAACCAGUUCGCCAUGACCUUCUCAUCGCCGUUGGCCGCCUCGAUGCUAAGCUCGUAGAGCUGUAAGAACUCGGCAGGGCUGGGGGUGCCAUCGUAGCGUGGAGGCAGGUCUGGCUUGAACUUCUCAGGCCAGACGACGCGGCGAAGCUCUGGGGUGAAUACACGGCAGCCUGCCGCACUCACCGGAGCCCGCCGUGGAGGUGGGACCUGAUCUUUGUGCUCCCGCACCAUCAUCUCGGGCGGCACGCGGUCUUGACGUCGCGAUGCUGGGAGCACACACGCCUCUCCUUGGGGCCGCUGCACCACCUAGCAGCUUUCCUCGUCGCUUGUCGGCGCCUUGCACGGUGGGUCACGCCGAGGAGCCUCAUGACUUGGCUCAAGGAUGAAAUCUUGCUUGGGAGGUGGAGGGGGCGCAUCGCGGGCCACGUCGCCCACAAGAGGCGGCGGGGGAGGCAGCGAGCGGGAUGGCGCAGGGGCCUCUCCCGCGGCGCUGACGAGCUCGACGAUGCGGUCCAGCCAGUCCUCGUAGAGGUCAUCGGUCGGGCAAUAGCGCAGAAGCUCGCAUGCCAUGAGCAACGCAGCCUGCGCGUUCACCGGCUCACGACGAGCAUGGGAAGACGAAGCAGCCGCCGGAGUCAGCGAUAGAGUGGCGGUGCAUCCAUCGCGCCGCACAGAAGGCGGCAGUGAUGAAGCCUGGUGCUCGUGGGCCACUGGGCCGGUCGUGGCAUUUGCCGCUGGCGAUGGGGAACGACGGGAGCGCCGUUGCCUGCAGGUGCUGUUUGGGCGACACGGGCGGCGAGGGCAGCCCGACACUCAACACGAACUCGACGAGCGUCAGCCAUGGGGUCGGCGGAAGGGUGACGAAUCAACCGGCGAAAGAGAGGCUCCGACGCACCCUUACCUGGCGCACCAAAUGUCGGAUUUGGGGCUCCGCGGACCCAAGAUAGAUUCAAACUCUGGGGUGCGUGCAAAGAACUCAACCUCCCUAGUCUGCCAACUCGUCGAUCUCACGGCCUAACUCGAUGAACUGAGGAAGAAUAGGACAGGGCAAAUUACCUAGGUUCGGGCCACCUUGCGGUGUAAUACCCUACUCCCGCUUUGUGGUGGAUUAGCCUCGAGGUGGGCUGAGGAUGAACUAGUACAGUGGAAGAACAACCUCAGGAGGUGUGUCCUUGUGCAUGUGAGGGUGUGGAUGGUCUGAAUGAUCCGUCCUCCUCUAUGAUGGUGGCUAUGCUAUACUUAUAGUGGCCUUGGUCCUCUUCCCAAAACAGAGGCGGGAAGAGAUCCCACAACAGCCAAAAUCGAAGCGGGACAACUAGUACAUCUUAUCCUGACGAAAGGUGGUCUACGCCUACAAAGCUUCUGGGCGUGACGUCAUGGUGGGCUCGGCGAUGACCUCCAUCCUGCCGUCCGGACAAUCUUGGUAUUGUAGCAUGGAAAUGAAAACCUUUGGUUGAAUCCUCGGGACUCCGCGCCUGCGCUUGCCUCUUUAGCACCAAAGAGGAAACAUGCUGUAUUGCGCCCGCUGGCGCCCGCCCGGCCUUGGUCGUCAUGGCUUGCGUCAUCUGAGCCUCACGAGGUGAGGGCUCGCGUGGAAAUCUCCACUCCUCAGGAGCCAGCCUAAGGAGGCCACUCCCUCUGGAGGUUUUGGCGUCGUCCACCUCGCGAGGCUUGGCCCCUCGCGAGGGUCUUGUGCUGUUGGUGCUGAAGAUGGGCCGUACCAGGCCGUCGAUGGAGCCACGUCGUGGGCCGCAGGCAGGCAAGUCUGGGUACCCUGGUUCCUAGAACACCGACAAUAGAAGUAGACCCGGGGUCCAUAGUUUUGACGAGAGGCUUCUCUCUUGAAAAUAUCAUCUGUCCCAAUGCUCGGCUGACACAUGGAUCCUCCGGCGAAUCCGAAUUUACACGUGGAAAAUCCCCAUUGGUCCUGGCUGUUAACGGGUUGUCAAAUCCAAACCGAAACCCGAUAGCUUAACGGCGACCUGUUACGGUGGAUGCCACGUGUCGGUUACCCUUGACGAAAACACUUCCAUGACGCAUCAUUUAUUGUCAUGGAAGUGUCCCACUUCCGUGAUGAUAAUUUCGGUACUGUCAUGGAACAGUUCUAUGACAGCACAUGUAUGACUAUCUUGAUUCUGUCAUAAAAUGUCAUGGAUGUACAUGCAUGACAGAAAACGUGACCUACUGUGACAAACACGUAUCAUCACAGAAGUGUUUUUUUUGUAGUUCUAGCUACUAGAUACGGACCUGUAGGUCUGUGGUAAACUACUCACAUAUCAUUGGAGGGCAACAAGGAUGAUGUAGAAGCCCUCCGUGAUGGAUUCCCCUUUGGCAAGUAUUGGAAAAGGCCUCCAGAUGGGAUCGCAGAAGAAUAGAAGCUUGCGGCGGCGGAAAAAAGUGUUUUGGGUGGCUCUCUAUUGGUUUCAGGAUUUAUGGGAAUUUAUGGAGUUGGGGGUCAAUCGGAGCUCUGGGGUCCCACAAGCUCAGGGGGUGCACCUGGUGAGCUUGUGGCUCUCCCGUAGCUCCCCUGGUAUCCUCCAAAGGCUCCUAGGGUCUCUUCUAGUUCAGAAAAAAUCAUCGUAAAGUUUUAUCAUGUUUGGACUUCGUUUGGUAUUGAUUUCUUGAAAAAACAAAACAGGAAAAAACAAGAACUGACUAGGCACCGAGUCAAUAGAUUAGUACCCAAAAAUGACAUAAAGGUGCAUAUAAAUUAUGUAAAAUUGGUAAUAUAAUAAUAUGAAACAAUCAAAAAUUAUAGAUGCGUUGGAGACGUAUCACCACACGACUUGGAAGCUCUCUGAAAACACCAACCAUUUAGGGUUCCCCACAAACCCAAGAGUAACAAUAUUUGUGAGGAUCUCGCAGGGAAUCAACGAACUCAUGUUUUACUUGGAUGGAUUUGUAGACCGGGUGUUCCUCUUUCUCUCUCUAAAGUAUAGAGUAGAUAGAUUGGCCAGAGAGGGAGGAAUCAAAUAUCGUAGCUUUGAAGAAGAAAGGGUGCUUUAUAUAGGCCCCCACGAUAUCUAUUUGUUAUGCACACUAUACAAAUAAGUCGGAUAGUCCGACUUGUCAGACAGCCUAGGCCAAAGUUCGACAUUGUAUUCGACCUAAUACAGAGAGCUGGACAAAGUCGGAGCCUAUGAUGAACAGUCCGACAUGUUAGAUAGUCCCACGCAAGUCGAAUUUUCUGGCCUGGCCCAGGCAACCAAAAUAGCGGCAAAAUAAAUGAACAUUUGGGUGCUCUUCCUCGCAUGUGAUGUAGAUGUAUUUAGCUUGAAUUAUUCAGUGAUUCCCACACUUGAUCCAUGGUGUGUCCCCUCUUAAUAAUACAACAUACUUCACUCAAAACUGAUAAAUCAUCGGUGCAAGUUUGACGUGUUGCCUUCUUUUGUCCUAUUAGCUUUGGGGUUGCCGACCAACAAUAUGUUUCUUUUCCAGAGGUGUGGAAGUUGAAAGCAAGCUUGAAACAUAGUUUUCUAAUCUCUAUUGCCAGUAACACCGAAACCCUUAUUAGGGGUGGAUGUCCUUUUAGGAAGCCAUGUCGCGGUGUGACGGUUGGACAUGAACCGCAAGUUUCCUUUGACCAUGUAGCCUGAUACCAUGGUAGUUGUGUUGCUACCUCUCAAGAGAGAUGCAUCGAUAAGAUGUAGGACCUUUAAGACUUACCACAGUGGGAGUAACUUCAAGAGUAACAUUGGGUCCAAGUCAGCAAAUUUGCAUAUGUGGCAAUGCGUUAAUGAGGAGAGAGAUAAAAUGAGUAACUUAGCUAGUUACUCAUUAUAUGAGUAACAUCUCACUUACAAAGACAAAAUGAGUCUAUAACCUAAUAAAUGAAACUUUGCAUGACACUACACAUAUGUUACUAUUCACUAUGAAGAUAGUAACAUAGUCUAGGAUAGUGUGUAUGUUACUAGUGUAAGUUACUCUCCACUGUGACUAGUCUAAGGGGGAGAAACACAUGGAAGAGGAGAGCUCGGGACCUCUUCGCGCUACAACUGCAAUAGCUGCUUUGUCUAAGCGCCAUCGCUAUCGGCACUCCCUUUGGGAGCCGAUACCACUGGUCUCGCUCGACUCCACCGCCAGUGCCAAACUUCUCCUCUCGGAGUUGCCGACCAUCACUGCUUUUUGCUGUUGGCGUAGGGGUGACGGGGCGAGGGUGAACAACUAAGGGGAAAAGCCGAGCAGUGCAGAUAACUAGGAGUGGAAAAAAGAAGAAGAAUUCAGUGAUGCACAAUUCAAAACUUUUUACAUCCAAACAUAAGCUGGGAAUGGCGCUCGUUUGAUACAAACUACCAAUGUUUUAUACAACCAAACAACAAAAUUGGCCUUGAAACUCGAUACAAUGUCCUGGGAUACCUGGCAUUUGGAACCAAUGCAACCAAGCCCUCCAAUGUCUAUGUCCAAACCGUGCCUUAGGAAAACUCAUGGGUUAGUAAUUUUAGUAUAUCUACCAAGCAUACUGCAUAUUCGAAUUUGAGUACGAAUUGGCAAUCAUAUCUGUAAACUGCCGUAAAUGCAAAAGAGAAAAAGAAAAUGCAAUAGCCAACCAAAAAGAAGAUGCUCCGGCUCCUAGCGCUCCGCGGCCUCCGCUGCCCUAGCGGCUCCGCUCUCCCCUAGCACUCCGCUCCCCUGCAUUGCGCUCCGGCCGGCUGCCACUCCGGCGCCGACGGCCACCAUAGCACCGUCCCCGCUCCGGCGGUGGCGCCCCCUCCUCCUCCUCCUCCAGCCAUGGCCUCUCGAGUCUCCCUCUCGGGCUCGCUCUCAUCCGGAUCUGGGUUCUCUUCCCCAUCCCCCGCUACCCCGCCGGCGCGUUCCCCUUCCCCUCCCCCGCCGCCCCGUCAGGAUCCUCCCCCGUCCUCCUCGGCAAGGCCGUGCCCCCUCCUCCGCUCCAUCAUGGUGCCACCCGUCCUGGGCACGGCCUUUGGCCCCAUCGUCCAGGGUGGGGCGGCUGGCCCGCCCCGUCCCCCUGCGUCGCGGCCCGUGGAGGAGCCAUGGCAUACCAAGGUGAGCCGACGCCCGCGCGCGCCUCCUAGGCGGACCUGGCGGCAAAGGCAUCACCUUCCGGCCGGACGGGCCCGUGCGCUACCGACCCCUCGUCCUCAUCCUUCCUCGCGGCUUCCGGCGGAGCUCCAUGGGUGCUGCUACAACUGUGGGAGCGAUGGUCACAUCUUGGUGGAUUGCCCCAACCCUCCCUUCUGCGUGCGCUGUCGUGGGGUCGGCCACAUCUCACGUGGAUGCACCAGGCCGCGUAGCCCCUCCCCGGUCGACCAGCCUGCGCUGCCGCCUACCCUACGGCGUCGCGUGGGGGAGGCGGAUCCCUCGUCGCCGCGGCGCUCGGACGCCUCGCUGUCUCUGCCGCCGCCGCCUGGCCCCCUCCUCCGGGCACUGUUCGGCUCUGGUCCGAUGUGGUGCGUGAGCCUUUUCGGGGUGCAGUGUCGGGCCUGGGUGCUGCUUCAUGGUCGGCCGCUCCUGGGGCUGGAGGGUCGGAGUUCUCGGUGCCUUUCGACCAGCGGGCCCCUGGCAUUCCGAUGGCGGUGGAUGAGCGCGACGAUCUGGUGGAGGCCUGCUUCCUUGAGGCGGCCGAAGACACCCGGCAGAUGGAGGCUGAGCUCGCCCGUGCGGUCCUGGUCACGGUGACUGGCCACCGGCCUACGGUGGAUUUGGAGUCGGCGGCGGAGGCCCUGCACGCUGAGUUUGACCUGGGUCCGACGGACAUGUCCAUCCGGGCCUUCUUCCCCGAUGACUUCCUUGUGCUCUACAGGGAAGGGGCGACCCGGGAUAGGAUGGUACGUGCUGGCCAUGCUAGUUCUUCGUGGUUCGAGCUCAACUUGCGGCCGUGGAAUAGGCAGGCGCAGGCCACGGCGGCACCGUUGCCUUUUCUGGUGCCGAUCGCCCUGCGCGGAGUUCCGGCGCACGCGUGGAACCAAAGGACGGUGACUGUGAUCUUGCGCGGCCUUGGGUAUGUCGUGAGGGUGGAUGACAGCACUGCUCGGCGCCUAGACAUGACGGAUUUCCGAGUUUGGUUGCGUACUUACCGGCCUCGCCGGAUCCCGCGCCGUCGGCUACUCUUCAUCGACGAGCCAAGGCAGAACCUUUGGGCGGGAGAUGUUGGUCAGCAGGUGGUCUCUGGUCAGUGUACUAACACGCUGUGGUAUCCGAUCGAUAUCUCAGUCCUCGCUAAGCCGGUGCUGGUUGACGAUGGCGCUGCGGGCGUUCGCCUCCCUCCACCGCCACCGCCAUCGCCAUCGCCCUCUUCCGGCAGUGAUGAUGCGCCGCCCGAUGGAGGCGCGAGCAGACCCGCGAGGGGCGUUGGCGGCGUCGGCAAUGCUUCGGUUAGCUCUGUUGGGUCGUCGACGGCGGCGCCGCCACCGGCCGGGUGGCAGGUUCGUGUCGCCCCGGGUUCGGUCGCCAGGCCGGUCAGCACCAGCCGCGUGGCUGCCGUCACGGGGAUUCGCUUGGGUCAGGGUGUGGGGACGGAGGAUUCAGCUUUUCGGCAGCCAAUCAUCGAGCAGUCCUGAUCGCCCGUUGGCCAUGCAGAGCAGGUAGGGCCCGUUGCGAUCAUGAUUCGAACUGAUCAGACGGAGAUACAACCUGUCUCCCCCGCCUUGGUUCAACUGAUGAGGUGGGCGCAUGCCGACAAUUCUGAUGGUGGGCAUGCGAGGGUCCGGCCUAGGGAACUAGAGAAUGCUGGGAGUGGUCAAGACCUAAACUCCAUUCUGAUUGGCUCCUGCCAAAUCUCCUUUUUUGGACCAAGCGGUGUGGACAGGGACAGCGGCAGCCUUGCAACGGCAUCCUGGGAAGAGCUGGAAUCUUUGCCCCACGAACCAGGGGACAGCACAUGCAGGAUUGGAUGGGAUAAACAGGUGGAGGCCUUGCAGACCUUCCAGGUGUGCCUAUCGGAGAGCAGUUGCACCCAUGCAACAUGCAACGUAUGCAGUGUACGUAGUGCGCAGCUGGAUCCUGAAGUUGCGCCCGCGCCAGCCCUUGAUUCUGGGGUGGAACUGAUGCCGGACUCAGCGACCUGCGGUGGUAUGGACGCACUGCAACCUGGUGACAUAGAGAGGAUGCGGGCUGACAUGUGUGUUUCCCUUUCCCCGCUGUUGCCAUUACCAUCAAGUCGGCCUGUCGCGGUGCAAGCGCGCAACCAAAGAAAGAAGAGGAUAGUGGAGGGGACACCAAGGAGGAGUGCGAGACUAGCCAAACACGGUGCAUCAAAGCAACAGCAAGUUCUCAUCCGCAAAUUGUGUUUGGCGCAUGAAGGUGAAGUGAUUUCGGAGGAUGCCCUAAAGAUGUAUGUGGAGUUGUUCUCUCGGCCGCUUUCAGAUGCCCACAUUGCCGCAAUCCUGGUGCUAUUUGGUUGGGAGUCGCCGCCGGUGCCCCUAGAGGAGGCAGCAGUGUGCUGAGGACCGCGUGGGUGGUUUGGUAGGCCUUUAUCAUGAAUACUCAACAGUUGAGAAUGUUAGUGUGGAACGUUCGUGGGCUAAACGCUUCGGCCCGGCGAAACACUGUCUUCCAGGUGGUCACGGCGGCUAGCCCGACUAUCGUGUGUCUUCAAGAGACUAAACUUCAUGAUGUAUCCGUGAAUGUUGUAAGACAAUGCCUCGGGGCUAAAUUUGAAAACUUUUUCUACCUUCCUGCGUUAGGUACGCGUGGUGGGAUCUUGGUGGCAUGGGUUGCCACUUCGGUUCAACUCUCUAACCCGCACCGUACCAACCAUACCUUAACGGCUCUGGCUAAGUGUCCCGAUGAUGAGCAACCAUGGUGGCUCACUUGUGUCUAUGGCCCGCACGAGGAGUCCGACAAGGUGGAAUUCCUCCAAGAUUUGGUGGAUAUUAGAGACUUGCACGCGGGGCCUUGGCUUGUGGCCGGGGACUUCAAUCUCAUUGCCAACGAGGAGGACAAGAACAAUGCCUUGAUCAAUCGCCGGAUGUUGGGAAGGUUUCGCUCCAAGCUCAACUCCCUCGAGCUAAAGGAGAUCUACCUGAAUGGGAGAAGAUACACGUGGUCGAACGAAAGGAGAAUUGCCACUUUGGAGAAAAUCGACCAUGUUUUCGUGUCGAAUGAAGGGAUCUGGCGUACCCAACCUGUUUUCUUUCAGCCCUGGGUACGGCUAUUUCCGACCACUGCCCGUUGGUGCUGGACGUGAAUACUUGCAUCAGUUCGAAAAGCCAGUUCAAAUUUGAAUCAUUCUGGACCAGAGCGGAAGGGUUCAUGGAUGUAGUUAAACUUGCCUGGACCUCAACUCCGGUGGCUUCUAACGAUUAUCUCACGCUUCAAAACAAACUAAAAGCUACUACAGUGAGCCUCCAAAGGUGGAGUGCCAGGUGGAUUGGGAACGUGAAACUACAAAUCGCUAUUGCUCUUGAGGUUAUUAAGCAGUUGGACACAGCUAUGGAAAUGAGAACCCUCUCUGAUGUCGAGCAGGAACUAAGAUUGUCCCUGAAGAAAAAGCUACUCGGUCUGAGCUCCUUGGAGAGGACUAUUGCGAGGCAAAGGUCUCGGUUACUUCAUCUGCGUGAGGGAGAUGGCAAUACUACGCUCUUUCACCAACAGGCUAGCCACUGGCAGCGGAAGAACACCUUGCGUGUGGUGAAGCACAACGGCAACCUCUAUACCGGGCAAGAGGAAGUAGCGUCGGCAGUUGAUGCAUAUUUUGGCGCAGCAUUUGGCACCUCGGAAGCUAGAAACUAUACCAUCAACCUAGGUAUCCUUGAGCUCCCACGGCAUGACCUAUCACAUCUCGAGCAGCCGUUUACCGCAGAGGAAGUGGAGAAGGUAAUCAAGAGCAUGCCACUGGACAAGGCCCCGGGGCCGGACGGGUUUACUAGCAGGUUCUACGCCGGGUGUUGGAGCAUUAUAAAAGAAGAUUUCAUGAAAGCAAUGGAGUGUUUCUACAAGGGCGACAUGAGGGGUUUAGCCGCCAUCAACAAAGCCCUUGUUUCCCUCUUGCCGAAGAAGGACGGAGCACUGGAAGUGCGUGAUUUUCGGCCGAUAAGCCUUGUGCACGGGGCUAUCAAGAUUUUUGAGAAAGUGCUCGCCUGUCGUUUGGUCGAGGAGCUACCCAUGCUAGUUGGCAACCACCAAGGCGCGUUUGUGAUGUUGGGGAACGUUGCAGAAAACAAAAAUUUUCCUACGGUUUCACCAAGAUCCAUCUAGGAGUUCAUCUAGCAACGAGUGAUUAGAUGCAUCUACGUACCUUGUAGAUCGCGAGCGGAAGCGUUCAAAGAACGGGGAUGAGGGAGUCGUACUCGACGUGAUUCGAAUCACCGAAGAUCCUAGCACCGAACGGACGACACCUCCGCGUUCAACACACGUACGGAACAGCCACGUCUCCUCCUUCUUGAUCCAGCAAGGGGGAGGAGAGGUUGAGGGAGAUGGCUCCAGCAGCAGCACGACGGCGUGGUGGUGAUGGAGCUGCAGUACUCCGGCAGGGCUUCGCCUAGCACUAUGGAGGAGGAGAGGUGUUGGAGAGGGAGAGGGAGGCACCAAAGAUCAAGGUAAGAAGUCCUCCAUCUCCCCCACUAUAUAUAGGAGGGCCAAGGGGGGGGGGGGGCGCCAGCCCUAGGAGAUCUAAUCUCCUAGGGGGGUGCGGCCAAGGGGAGGAAUCCCUCCUCCCCAAGGCACCUAGGAGGUGCCUUCCCCUCCUAGGACUCUUCCCUCCUUGAAACCCUAGGCGCAUGGGCCUCUUGGGGCUGGUGCCCUUGGCCCAUGUAGGCCAAGGCGCACCCCCUACAGCCCAUGUGGCCCCCCGGGACAGGUGGCCCCACCCGAUGGACCCCCGGGACCCUUCCGGUGGUCCCGGUACAAUACCGGUGACCCCGAAACUUGUCCCGAUGCCCGAAAUAGCACUUCCUAUAUAUAAUUCUUUACCUCCGGACCAUUCCGGAACUCCUCGUGACGUCCGGGAUCUCAUCCGGGACUCCGAACAACAUUCGGGUUACUGCAUAUACAUAUCCCUACAACCCUAGCGUCACCGAACCUUAAGUGUGUAGACCCUACGGGUUCGGGAGACAUGUAGACAUGACCGAGACGACUCUCCGGUCAAUAACCAACAUCGGGAUCUGGAUACCCAUGUUGGCUCCCACAUGCUCCUCGAUGAUCUCAUCGGAUGAACCACUAUGUCGAGGAUUCAAGCAACCCUGUAUACAAUUCCCUUUGUCAAUCGGUAUGUUACUUGCCUGAGAUUCGAUCGUCGGUAUCCCAAUACCUCGUUCAAUCUCGUUACCGGCAAGUCACUUUACUCGUACCGUAAUGCAUGAUCCCGUGACCAGACACUUGGUCACUUUGAGCUCAUUUUGGUGAUGCAUUACCGAGUGGGCCCAGUGAUACCUCUCCGUCAUACGGAGUGACAAAUCCCAGUCUUGAUCCGUGUCAACCCAACAGACACUUUCGGAGACACCCGUAGUAUACCUUUAUAGUCACCCAGUUACGUUGUGACGUUUGGCACACCCAAAGCACUCCUACGGUAUCCGGGAGUUACACGAUCUCAUGGUCUAAGGAAAAGAUACUUGACAUUGGAAAACUCUAGCAAACGAACUAUACGACCUUGUGCUAUGUUUAGGAUUGGGUCUUGUCCAUCACAUCAUUCUCCUAAUGAUGUGAUCUCGUUAUCAAUGACAUCCAAUGUCCAUAGUCAGGAAACCAUGACUAUCUGUUGAUCAACGAGCUAGUCAACUAGAGGCUUACUAGGGACAUGUUGGUGUCUAUUAUUCACACAUGCAUUACGAUUUCCGGAUAACACAAUUAUAGCAUGAGUAAAGACAAUUAUCAUGAACAAGGAAAUAUAAUAAUAAUGCUUUUAUUAUUGCCUCUAGGGCAUAUUUCCAACAGUCUCCCACUUGCACUAGAGUCAAUAAUCUAGUUACAUUGUGAUGAAUCGAACACCCAUGGAAUUCUGGUGUUGAUCAUGUUUUGCUCUAGGGAGAGGUUUAGUCAACGGAUCUGCUACAUUCAGGUCCGUGUGCACUUUACAAAUAUCUAUGUCUCCAUCUUGAACAUUUUCACGAAUGGAGUUGAAGCGACGCUUGAUGUGCCUUGUCUUCUUGUGAAACCUGGGCCCCUUGGCAAGAGCAAUAGCUCCAGUGUUGUCACAGAAGAGCUUGAUCGGCCCCGACGCAUUAGGUAUGACUCCUAGGUCGGUGAUGAACUCCUUCACCCAAAUUGCUUCAUGCGCUGCCUCCGAGGCUGCCAUGUACUCCGCUUCACAUGUAGAUCCCGCCACGACGCUCUGCUUGCAACUGCACCAGCUUACUGCCCCACCAUUCAAAAUAUACACGUAUCCGGUUUGUGACUUAGAGUCAUCCAGAUCUGUGUCGAAGCUAGCGUCGACGUAACCCUUUACGAUGAGCUCUUCGUCACCUCCAUAGAUGAGAAACAUUUCCUUAGUCCUUUUCAGGUACUUCAGGAUAUUCUUGACCGCUGUCCAGUGUUCCUUGCCGGGAUUACUUUGGUACCUUCCUACCAAACUUACGGCAAGGUUUACAUCAGGUCUGGUACACAGCAUGGCAUACAUAAUAGAACCUAUGGCUGAGGCAUAGGGGAUGACACUCAUCUCUUCUAUAUCUUCUGUCGUGGUCGGACAUUGAGCUGAGCUCAAUUUCACACCUUGCAACACAGGCAAGAACCCCUUCUUAGACUGAUCCAUAUUGAACUUCUUCAAUAUCUUAUCAAGGUAUGUGCUUUGUGAAAGACCUAUGAGGCGUCUUGAUCCAUCUCUAUAGAUCUUGAUGCCUAAUAUAUAUGCAGCUUCUCCAAGGUCCUUCAUUGAAAAACUCUUAUUCAAGUAGGCCUUAAUGCUAUCCAAGAGUUCUAUAUCAUUUCCCAUCAAAAGUAUGUCAUCUACAUAUAAUAUGAGAAAUGCUACAGAGCUCCCACUCAUUUCCCAUCAAAAAUAUGUUCCAACUCCGAGAUGCUUGCACCAGCCCAUAAAUCGAGCGUUGGAGCUUGCACACCUUGUCAGCAUUCUUAGGAUCGACAAAACCUUCCGACUGCAUCAUAUACAAUUCUUCCUUAAGGAAACCAUUAAGGAAUGUCAUUUUGAUGUCCAUCUGCCAUAUUUCAUAAUCAUAGAAUGCGGCAAUCGCUAACAUGAUUCGGACGGACUUCAGCUUCGCUACCGGUGAGAAAGUCUCAUCGUAGUCAACCCCUUGAACUUGUCGAUAACCCUUAGCGACAAGCCGAGCUUUAUAGAUGGUCACAUUACCAUCCGCAUUUGUCUUCUUCUUAAAGAUCCAUUUAUUUUCUAUGGCUCGCCGCUCAACGGGCAAGUCAGUCAAAGUCCAUACUUCGUUUUCAUACAUGGAUCCUAUCUCGGAUUUCAUGGCUUCUAGCCAUUUGUCGAAAUCCGGGCCCGCCAUCGCUUCUUCAUAGUUCGAAGGUUCACCGUUGUCUAACAACAUGAUUUCCAAGACAGGGUUGUCGUACCACUCUGGUGCGGAACGUGUCCUUGUGGACCUUCGAAUUUCAGUAGGAGCUUGAUCAGAAGUAUCUUGAUCAUCAUCAUUAACUUCCUCUCUAGUCGGUGCAGGCACCUCAGGAACAUUUUCUUGAGCUGCGCCAAUUUCCGGUUCAAGAGGUAAUACUUCAUCAAGUUCUACUUUCCUCCCACUUACUUCUUUCGAGAGAAACUCUUUCUCUAGAAAGGACCCAUUCUUGGCAACAAAGAUCUUGCCUUCGGAUCUGAGGUAGAAGGUAUACCCAAUAGUUUCUUUAGGGUAUCCUAUGAAGACGCAUUUUUCUGAUUUGGGUUCGAGCUUUUCAGGUUGAAGUUUCUUGACAUAAGCAUCGCAUCCCCAAACUUUUAGAAACGACAGCUUAGGUUUCUUCCCAAACCAUAAUUCAAACGGUGUCGUCUCAACGGAUUUCGACGGUGCCCUAUUUAAAGUGAAUGCGGUAGUCUCUAAAGCAUAGCCCCAAAAAGAUAGCGGUAAAUCGGUAAGAGACAUCAUAGAUCGCACCAUAUCUAAUAGAGUGCGAUUACGACGUUUGGACACACCAUUACGCUGAGGUGUUCCAGGCGGCGUGAGUUGUGAAACUAUUACACAUUUUCUUAAGUGUGUGCCAAACUCGUGACUCAAGUAUUCUCCUCCACGAUCUGAUCGUAGGAACUUGAUUUUCCUGUCACGUUGAUUCUCAACCUCACUCUGAAAUUCUUUGAACUUUUCAAAGGUCUCAGACUUGUGUUUCAUUAAGUAGACAUACCCAUAUCUACUCAAGUCAUCAGUGAGGGUGAGAACAUAACGAUAGCCACCGCGAGCCUCAACACUCAUUGGACCGCACACAUCAGUAUGUAUGAUUUCCAAUAAGUUGGUUGCUCGCUCCAUUGUUCCUGGGAACGGAGUCUUGGUCAUUUUACCCAUGAGGCAUGGUUUGCACGUGUCAAAUGAUUCAUAAUCAAGAGACUCUAAAAGUCCAUCAGCAUGGAGCUUCUUCAUGCGUUUGACACCUAUGUGACCAAGGCGGCAGUGCCACAAGUAUGUGGGACUAUCAUUAUCAACCUUACAUCUUUUGGUACUCACACUAUGAAUAUGUGUAGCAUUACGCUCGAGAUUCAUUAAGAAUAAACCAUUUACCAUUGGAGCAUGACCAUAAAACAUAUCUCUCAUAUAAAUAGAACAACCAUUAUUCUCGGAUUUAAAUGAGUAGCCAUCUCAAAUUAAACGAGAUCCUGAUACAAUGUUCAUGCUCAAACUUGGCACUAAAUAACAAUUAUUGAGGUUUAAAACUAAUCCCGUAGGUAAAUGAAGAGGCAGCGUGCCGACGUUGAUCACAUCGACCUUGGAACCAUUCCCGACGUGCAUCGUCACCUCGUCCUUCGUCAGUCUCCGUUUAUUCCACAGCUCCUGUUUUGAGUUACAAAUGUGAGCAACCGCACCGGUAUCAAAUACCCAGGAGCUACUACGAGUACUGGUAAGGUACACAUCAAUUACAUGUAUAUCACAUAUACCUUUCGUUUUGCCGGCCUUCUUGUCCGCUAAGUAUUUGGGGCAGUUCCGCUUCUAGUGACCACCUUCCUUGCAAUAAAAGCACUCAGUCUCGGGCUUGGGUCCAUUCUUUGGCUUCUUCCCAGCAGCUUGCUUGCCGGGCGCGGCAACUCCCUUGCCGUCUUUCUUGAAGGUUUUCUUACCCUUGCCUUUCUUGAACUUAGUGGUUUUAUUCACCAUCAACACUUGAUGUUCCCUUUUGACUUCUACCUCUGCUGAUUUCAGCAUUGCAAAUACUUCAGGAAUGGUCUUUUCCAUCCCCUGCAUAUUGAAGUUCAUCACAAAGCUCUUGUAGCUCGGUGGAAGCGACUGGAGGAUUCUGUCAAUGACCGCGUCAUCCGGGAGAUUAACUCCCAGCUGAGUCAAGCGGUUAUGCAACCCAGACAUAGUGAGUAUGUGCUCACUGAUAGAACUGUUUUCCUCCAUCUUACAGCUGAAGAACUUGUCGGAGACUUGAUAUCUCUCGACCCGGGCAUGAGCUUGAAAAACCAUUUUCAGCUCUUCGAACAUCUCAUAUGCUCCAUGUCUCUCAAAAUGCUUUUGGAGCCCCGGCUCUAAGCUGUAAAGCAUGCCGCACUGAACGAGGGAGUAGUCAUCGGUACGUGCCUGCCAAGCGUUCAUAACGUCUUGUUUUGCAGGGAGAACAGGUGCAUCACCUAGCGGUGCUUGUAGGACAUAAUCUUUCUUGGCAGCUAUGAGGAUGAUCCUCAGGUUCCGGACCCAGUCCGUGUAGUUGCUGCCAUCGUCUUUCAGCUUGGUUUUCUCUAGGAACGCGUUGAAGUUGAGGACUACGUUGGCCAUUUGAUCUACAAGACAUAUUGUAAAGAUUUUAGACUAAGUUCAUGAUAAUUAAGUUCAUCUAAUCAAAUUAUUCAAUGAACUCCCACUUAGAUAGACAUCCCUCCUGUCAUCUAAGUAUAACAUGAUCCGAGUUAACUAGGUCGUGUCCGAUCAUCACGUGAGACGGACUAGUCAACGUCGGUGAACAUCUUCAUGUUGAUCGUAUCUUCUAUACGACUCAUGCUCGACCUUUCGGUCUUCUGUGUUCCGAGGCCAUGUCUGUACACAUGCUAGGCUCGUCAAGUCAACCUAAGCGUUUGCAUGUGUAAAUCUGUCUUACACCCGUUGUAUGUGAACGUUAGAAUCUAUCACACCCGAUCAUCACGUGGUGCUUCGAAACAACGAACUGUCGCAACGGUGCACAGUUAGGGGGGAACACUUUCUUGAAAUUAUUAUGAGGGAUCAUCUUAUUUACUACCGUCGUUCUAAGUAAACAAGAUGCAAAAACAUGAUAAACAUCACAUGCAAUCAAAUAAUAAUAGUGACAUGAUAUGGCCAAUAUCACAUAGCUCCUUUGAUCUCCAUCUUGGGGCUCCAUGAUCAUCUUGUCACCGGCAUGACACCAUGAUCUCCAUCAUCAUGAUCUCCAUCAUCGUGUCUCCAUGAAGUUGCUCGCCAACUAUUACUUCUACUACUAUGGCUAACGCGUUUAGCAAUAAAGUAAAGUAAUUUACAUGGCGUUUCUCAAUGACACGCAGGUCAUACAAAAAAUAUAGACAACUCCUAUGGCUCCUGCCGGUUGUCAUACUCAUCGACAUGCAAGUCGUGAUUCCUAUUACAAUAGCAUGAACAUCUCAUACAUUACAUAUAGACAUUCAUCAUUCAUCACAACUUUGGCCAUAUCAUAUCACAAAGCACUUGCUGCAAAAACAAGUUAGACGUCCUCUAAUUGUUGUUGCAAGUUUUACGUGGCUGAAGUAGGGUUCUAGCAAGAACGUUUUCUUACCUACGUGAAAGCCACAACGUGAUUUGUCAACUUCUAUUUACCCUUCAUAAGGACCCUUUUCAUCGAAUCCGCUCCAACUAAAGUGGGAGAGACAGACACCCGCCAGCCACCUUAUGCAACUUGUGCAUGUUAGUCGGUGGAACCGGUCUCACGUGAGCGUACGUGUAAGGUUGGUCCGGGCUGCUUCAUCCCACAAUACCGUUGAAGCAAGAUAAGACUAGUAGCGGCAAGAAAGUUGACAACAUCAACGCCCACAACAAAUUGUGUUCUACUCGUGCAAGAGAACUACGCAUAGACCUAGCUCAUGAUGCCACUGUUGGGGAAUAUUGUAGAAAACAAAAAUUUUCCUACGGUUUCACCAAGAUCCAUCUAGGAGUUCAUCUAGCAACGAGUGAUUAGAUGCAUCUACGUACCUUGUAGAUCGCGAGCGGAAGCGUUCAAAGAACGGGGAUGAGGGAGUCGUACUCGACGUGAUUCGAAUCACCAAAGAUCCUAGCACCGAACGGACGGCACCUCCGCGUUCAACACACGUACGGAACAACCACGUCUCCUCCUUCUUGAUCCAGCAAGGGGGGAGGAGAGGUUGAGGGAGAUGGCUCCAGCAGCAGCACGACGGCGUGGUGGUGAUGGAGCUGCAGUACUCCGGCAGGGCUUCGCCAAGCACUAUGGAGGAGGAGGUGUUGGAGAGGGAGAGGGAGGCACCAAAGAUCAAGGUAAGAAGUCCUCCAUCUCCCCCACUAUAUAUAGGAGGGCCAAGGGGGGGGGGCGCCGGCCCUAGGAGAUCUAAUCUCCUAGGGGGGUGCGGCCAAGGGGAGGAAUCCCUCCUCCCCAAGGCACCUAGGAGGUGCCUUCCCCUCCUAGGACUCUUCCCUCCUUGAAACCCUAGGCGCAUGGGCCUCUUGGGGCUGGUGCCCUUGGCCCAUGUAGGCCAAGGCGCACCCCCUACAGCCCAUGUGGCCCCCCGGGACAGGUGGCCCCACCCGGUGGACCCCCGGGACCCUUCCAGUGGUCCUGGUACAAUACCGGUGACCCCGAAACUUGUCCCGAUGCCCGAAAUAGCACUUCCUAUAUAUAAUUCUUUACCUCCGGACCAUUCCGGAACUACUCGUGACGUCCGGGAUCUCAUCCGGGACUCCGAACAACAUUCGGGUUACUGCAUAUACAUAUCCCUACAACCCUAGCGUCACCGAACCUUAAGUGUGUAGACCCUACGGGUUCGGGAGACAUGUAGACAUGACCGAGACGACUCUCCGGUCAAUAACCAACAGCGGGAUCUGGAUACCCAUGUUGGCUCCCACAUGCUCCUCGAUGAUCUCAUCGGAUGAACCACUAUGUCGAGGAUUCAAGCAACCCUGUAUACAAUUCCCUUUGUCAAUCGGUAUGUUACUUGCCCGAGAUUCGAUUGUCGGUAUCCUAAUACCUCGUUCAAUCUCGUUACCGGCAAGUCACUUUACUCGUACCGUAAUGCAUGAUCCCGUGACCAGACACUUGGUCACUUUGAGCUCAUUUUGAUGAUGCAUUACCGAGUGGGCCCAGUGAUACCUCUCCGUCAUACGGAGUGACAAAUCCCAGUCUUGAUCCGUGUCAACCCAACAGACACUUUCGGAGACACCCGUAGUAUACCUUUAUAGUCACCCAGUUACGUUGUGACGUUUGGCACACCCAAAGCACUCCUACGGUAUUCGGGAGUUACACGAUCUCAUGGUCUAAGGAAAAGAUACUUGACAUUGGAAAACUCUAGCAAACGAACUAUACGACCUUGUGCCAUGUUUAGGAUUGGGUCUUGUCCAUCACAUCAUUCUCCUAAUGAUGUGAUCUCGUUAUCAAUGACAUCCAAUGUCCAUAGUCAGGAAACCAUGACUAUCUGUUGAUCAACGAGCUAGUCAACUAGAGGCUUACUAGGGACAUGUUGGUGUCUAUUAUUCACACAUGCAUUACGAUUUCCGGAUAACACAAUUAUAGCAUGAAUAAAGACAAUUAUCAUGAACAAGGAAAUAUAAUAAUAAUGAUUUUAUUAUUGCCUCUAGGGCAUAUUUCCAACAUGUGAAAGGAAGGUCUUUGCAUGACAACUUCAUUCUUGUGCAAAGCAUGGCGCGGAGACUGCACGCUCUCAAGAGCUCUUCUAUUCUGCUCAAGCUCGGCAUCUCUAAAGCGUUUGACUCGGUAAAGUGGCCCUUCCUUCUCGAGGUGUUGGAACAAAUGGGAUUUGGGCCGAGAUGGAGAGCAUGGAUUUGUGGGAUCCUUGCAACUUCAACAACUAAGAUCAUGGUCAAUGGCGACCCAGGCAACACGAUCUACAAUUGUAAAGGAUUGCAGCAGGGUGACCCCAUCUCACCGAUGCUUUUCAUCCUAAUUAUGGAGCCCCUGCAAAAGAUGUUUGAGCUGGCUAUGAGCCGAGGUGUCCUUACACCUCUUGCGCGAGUAGGGAUGAGGAAGCGCCUAUCCAUCUUCGCGGAUGAUGUGGUUCUGUUCAUCAAACCCAGUCCACGGGAUCUCCGUGUUUGCAAAUUGUUGUUCGAGAUGUUCGGCGAGGCAGCUGGGCUCAGGAUUAACUUGCACAAGUCUGCGGCCCUACCUAUCAGGUGCACUGACGAGGAGGUAUCCAUUGCAUGCACCGAGCUUGACUGCCCGUUGGGAGUGUUCCCUAUCAAAUAUCUUGGGCUACCGCUUUCGCUAAGGAAGAUAUCUGCAGCGCAGCUGCAAUACUUGGUGGAUCAUAUGGCAAGCAAGCUGCCAAAAUGGAAGGCAUCUCUAAUGCCAAAGAGUGGCCGGCUAACUUUGGUUCAGUCCGUGUUAUGUGCCAUGCCCAUUCACGCUAUGAUGGCGCUAGACCUCCCGAUGAAAACUAUUGCUGCCAUGAACAAAAUCUGCAGAGGGUUCUUGUGGUGUAGGCGAGCGGAAGCUAAUGGAGGCAACUGUGCCGUUGCUUGGGACAUGGUUUGCUCCCAAGUGGGCUGGUGGACUGGGGCUGCCGAAUCUACGGUGGAUGAACGUGGCCAUGCAGGCUCGUUGGCCAUGGCUACAGAGAACGGAUGAGACGAGACCAUGGAGCGAAUUUCGAAUACCGGUCGCAGAGGAGGCAAGGCUUCUAUGCCAGGCAGCUAUGAGGAGUACCGCGUAGUCAGGCCACACAACGCUCUUUUGGGAGGAUCGGUGGUUGGAUGGCAGGAGAGUGCAGGAGGUGGCACCGCGUGUGUACGACUCGGUCCCGCCGCGAAUACGAAAGACGAGGCUGGUUUGCUCGGCCGUGGAGAGCGGAUCUUGGGCGAUAGACUUGACCCCAAACUUGGGCGUCAAUACUUUGCAUGAAUUCCUCACACUUUGGGAGAUGGUUAGCACUUGGGAACCAGCUCAAGACGAUGUGCCUGACGUGAUUAAGUGGUCGUGGGAGGAAAACGGCCGAUUCUCGGUGAAAUCAGCGUAUGCGGCAGCAUUCUGGGGAAGAGAAGUAAUCCCAACGGCAGACUUGACAUGGAAGUCAUGCGCUCCCUUGCAAUGUAGGUUCUUUAUUUGGUUGGCCAUGAAAGACCGAUGCUGGACCUCGGAUCGUCUUGCACGACGAGGCCUGCCACAUCAAGCCGCAUGCCCUUUCUGCGAUCAGGAGGACGAAACGAUCAACCAUCUCAUGCUCACAUGUGUGUUCACUAGAACAAUCUGGGCGGCCAUUUGUGCAGCGCUGGGCUCUCCGGCUUGGAUUCCAACUACACAGGAUUCGCUGGUACAAUGGGCCAUUGAUAAGCGCGGAUCGGAUGAGGUGAGUACAAAGGAUCUACAAACCAUCUUCGCUCUUGUGUGGUGGGAGUUGUGGAAGCAUCGGAAUGCAAUAGUGUUUGACGGUGCGAGACCGUCGGUCUUCCAGUUGCUAAACAAGAUUCGUAGCGAGGGCUUAGUUUGGAUAUCGGCUGGGCUACUAAAAGGGCAUGUAACUCCCUUCUUCCGUAGGGUAGAGAGGUGGGUGAGUGGUGAAGACUAGUUUUGUACCGGUAACAAUGUAAACUUUGGUGGAGGCACUCUUUGCCUUUUCUUCUUUAAUAUAUGAUAUGCACACCCGUGCAUAUUCGAGAAAAAAAAUGUGAAUUCCGAAAAAACACGAGACACAAAGUGACUAAUAUCCACAUCAUAUUUUGUCUGAUAAAGCAUUUUGUUUUUUGCAGAAUUUUUCCAACAAAAUUUGGAUUUUUUUUACAAAAUCCACACAACUUAUUUUACAAACUAGCAAGAACAUCAAGAUGCAUUUAUUUUAUAAAACAUCAGUUGUGAUUGAUCCAUGCGGGAGUAAUCCCAUGUGUAAAAACCAACGACAUCGUCAGGUUUUUAUAACUCAGCACGUACACCAUUGAUGCAGAUCCUCUCCGACACCGACCUCCGCAAGCACGUUGACGGUGCCGUGCGUGUCCCAACACCUCAGACCGAGCGGAGUGGGGGAGACGAGAAAGAGGAGAGAUAGGUGAGGAGGAGUGAGACGUGGUGGUGGUUGGUGGUCGGACUGAGCGGAGGCAUGGGGAUGGACGACGCCGGCAGCGGCCACCAUGCCAGAUUGUUCGAGAGGCUUCUUUUUUUAAUUGCUCAACAAUGAGGUCGUGGGAGAUAAGAAUGAACGAGAGAAGACCUUAUCUGUAAAUAUGAAGAGAGGUGCAGAUAUCUUUUUGUAAAAUUAUUAUAGUUACUUUUUAUCCAUUAAAUAUAGAUCGAACGGUUUAUAUUGCAGGAUGGCAAGCACAACAUCAUCAUCAACUCGUUUUUUUAUAAGAGUAGAGACUUUGUACAAGAAGAAAAUAAGAGAGGCAAAACUUCAGAAGAGCACAUGGGCUGCUGCUAGUGGGCCCACCUCAUGUAUGUGCCAGCCAGGAGACAAACCACAACCUUCUCCUAGGAUGGGACCCACAGUGCAGAGACAGAGAGCAGCAGCACACGUGCCCGCCCGCUCGCUCCAUCGUCCGGGACGGACAUUGGGCGAAACGGAUCAAACGGGUCGUCUCCUCCCCACGCCACGAACAACAAACCACGCGACGCAAGCACGAACCCAACGUCCCAGCCAGCAGCCGAGGAGGAGUCCCAUCGUACGCUGCACCACGCCUCCAGCACAGACUCCACCCCGAUCCGAUGGCGAUCAAAUACACUACAUACGACCUCUCUCUACCCUACCAAGACCAAGACCAAGACCAGAACCAAAACAAAAAGCAGCAGCAUCCAUCCGAUCGGGGCAGCCGGGAAACACAGAAGAAAGAAAGAAAUUCCCCAAUCCCAUUCCCAAAAUCCCGUCUACUAACUCUAAUCUAAUCUUUUAAGUUUUCUGUUUUUCCUUUCCGUCGCCCCAGCAGCAGUAAUGAGGACGAGGCAGCGGCAGAGAAAACGAAAAGCGCCAAGAGAACAACAACAACAACAUCAACGCACCAGGCGGCCGCAGCAUCAUCAUCGACGGAGGAAGCGCGGGCAGAUUAGAUGCGCGAGCAAAGCACAAAAUAAUCCAUCCAUCGCAUCCCAAAGGGAAGGCAAGGGAUAGAGAAAGAAAAAGUCCCCACUGCCCGCCCGAGCCGUCAAAAUCCAAUCUUUGACGGGGGACGCCUCGCCCUCCCCUACUGUUCUCCCCUCCGGUUUGUUUUGUUCGCGGCUCCGCGAUAAUUAUUAUUGUCAGGCAGGGAGGCAGCCCCUGGUUGGUGGUUGCUGCUAAUCAGGCUGCCGCCGCUGCCUAAUCCGCGAAUCCCCGCGUGAUUCUCGUCCCAGUUUGGUCGGCUUCUUUCUUUCUUUCUUUCUUUCUUUCUUUCUUGGAGGUUCCUUGGAUUCAUCCGUUCAUCGGGCGGGCGCGCGGGCUCGAUCGGGAUGGGCGGGGGCUGCUGCGGCUGCUGGGUUGGGCUCGCGUCCAAUUCCCCACCACCACCACCGCCACAAGUACGCCUCUUUUUUAUUGUUCCAGGAGUGGGAUUUGCCUUUGCGCUGUGAGAGAGAGGGAGCUAUUUCCGCGAUUCCCAUUAGGGCUCCUCCCUCUUCGUCUCCUCCCCCACGCUUUACUCUUUCGUUAUCCUCCUUUGCGCCCCCCGAAUCCAAUCCUCCCCCCUCCGCCGCCCCCCGUCCGGAUCCGGGGUUCGCCCUCGAUUUCGCCCCGCCGGCCCCCGAUUCGGCCGCCGAAAUCCGUCCCCAGGUAUGUUUCUCGCGCCGAUUUGACGGUUCCUGCCUCAGAUUUGGUCGGAUUUUUCGGGGGAUUUGUGGUCUGAUCCCCUUGUGUUUCGCGGUUGCAGGGUUCCAUGAAGUGACGCCCCCCGGAGGUGAAUUUCUGGGUCUUGCUGAGAGUUUUUGCUUGCGGCCAUGUCGCAAAUCCAGAGCUUGUCACGGAGCUGCGUGCUACUUGCGGUGCUCUGCGGCAAGCACGCCGAUAAGCAGCAGCAGCGUGCGCCGCCGGGGAGGUCGGGGCCGGAGGCGAAGCGGCUGCGGCCGUCCUAUCCGUUUCCUGAGCUCAGCUCAGCGGGGAGGUUGGAGGUCAGUUAGCAGCGCCCUCACUUUGUUGUGCCUGGGGAUGGAUGGAUUUUGCUUGGUAGCUCACAUGGAAGGGGGCUUUUCGAUGCAGGUGCACACGCUGGUCAAUCCAACGCCGGAGCAGUUCCUCGAGGCGCAGCGGCUGGUGCAACCCAACUUCUUCUACAUCCAGGGCCAGCAGCUGGAAGAUGAGGAGAUUGGUUCGCUCGUCUGGGGGGAUGCCGACAUGUCUGACCCGCAGUCGUUUGUCUGUCUCAUCAGCCCGCCGUUCCCAACGAUUGUAAGCGCAGAAAUUUUCUCUCAACUGUCUGCAAUGCUGUUUAUUCCUUGGUUGAGUGGUGGCGGCAAGUUCCAAGUUGCAGUGCUGUUAGCUGUUGAUGGAAUUGAGUUCCUAGUUGCAUGAUACUCGCUGACAUGUUUUGGAGUCAACAUUCUAGUUCCAUAACUAGCCUAUCCCAACUUGUUUGGGACUGAAAGGCUUUGUUGUUGUUGUUGUUGUUGUUGAUUCUAGUUCCAUAACUGCAAUCGGCAAUUUUGAUUGCAGCUGCUGUAUGAAUCUGAAGAAACUUGCCCAAGGAUGUCUGUUUGAUUUGUUGCAAUAAGACAGUUUGUCUAAGAUUGCCCAUGCCACUAGGGUAGCUAAUGUCUUCUCCAUUUCAUUGCAUGAUGUACAUAUUAGCUAUUAUGUUUUCACAGGCAGAUUUUCUCUCCAUACUGCAUUGGAUUUUCUUUGCCUUGUAUUCUUUUGAUUCUUUUUGUCUGUGUGUGGGUGAUGGUAACACUGCGGCUUGGUUAUAACACAGGUUUAUCUGGAGGUUCCUAUUGGUGAAAAACUUGCCCAAGCAGUUCACUCAAAGGUAGACACAUUAAUCUUUGCAAUAUUUUGCCCAAGCAACUAGAGUCCCAUUGUCCAUUUCUCUGAGUGUAGUUGGAGGUUGCACACAGAAGUAUCUAGCAACCUGUCUUAAGUUUCACAAAAGAAAAUCACUUUAUUUUAGUUAUACAAUAUUGUAAUUUGCUAAAUCAUUGACUUUGGUUGUUUCAUUUCAGGGUAUUCCAUAUGUAAUAUACUGGAGAAAUUCAUUUUCAUCUUAUGCAGCAUCCCAUUUUCGCAAUGCAUUGUUGUCGGUAGUUCAAAGGUACUGCCAUCCCCCUUUCACUUUUCAUCAGCAUCAUAUGUCAAUGACAUGUAACGAGACAUGUAACAAUGUGUUUAUGCUUGAAUGUAGUUCGGUGAGCCAUACAUGGGAUUCCUUUCAGCUUGCUCAUGCAUCCUUUCGACUAUACUGUGUAAGAAACAACCAUGUUCAAAGUGUUAAACUCGGCCCUCGUCUGCUUGGUGAUGCUCCAAAGGUAAAUGUAGUCACUCCCGAGAAUGAAAUGGCUGAGGAAGAAGGUUCUUCUUCUGAAGUGUCCCCAGCUAUAAAAAUAUAUGAUGAUGACAUCAACAUGAAAUUUCUUCUCUGCGGAGUACCAAGUGCGCUGGUAAGCUUCGAUAUAUUAGACGUACGGAUUAUCCACAUCUCUUGCAUAUUGUUUGUUACUUGAUUCAACUAUGUCUUAAUUUCAUCUCUAUUCUUGUGCAGGACUCUUGUUUGCUGGGCUCAUUAGAAGAUGGUCUGAAUGCUCUUCUAAAUAUCGAAGUAUGGAGUAAAGCAUUGUAGUUCAACAAUACUUCUUAUCCUCCACGUCCUUCUAUGUAUGGAAUAAACAUGAUUUCUGAGUCAUGGAAUCUCACAAAUGUUCAACUAUUUGCUAAAGAAAAAAAAACGUGGUAUUAUGAUUCUAACAACAACCUUCAUUGACAAUCUAAGAAAUCUUGUUUACAGAAGUAUGAGAUUUGACUAGGUUACAUUUUGUCAAAUCUGUUUUCUCAAUUGCAUGGAUGUUAUCACAUUUACACUUGUUCAAAACAUUUAUGCUCUUGUUUCAAGAGCCAGAAGAAGCUACACUCCUCACUGGACAAUGGUUACAAGCAAGAACUACAUAAAAAUAAAAUCCGUCAUGAUGUGCGGCACCAAACACUGCACGUAAAUGAAAUACUAGAUACAAGACUAGUAAGAAUAUGCAUCCUUUUGUCUUAUAUGUGAAGCGGCAAAACCAUAUUACAUUUUGAUGUUAUGAUCGACACACAUCCAAAAACACCGUACUAUUUAGCUAUUUCUUUUACUACUUGUCCGUAAACAGAUGGAUACACAAAUAAAACAAAUGUGCUAAUCUUAGAUGCUCCAGGAUUUGUUCAGCUAACUCUUAUCUAUCAAUUUUUGUGCCACUUCUGUAAUUCUGUUUGUUUCACUAUACUUUUCAUAUGUAUUAUUAAUAGCUCCAUGUAACGUUUGAUUCUGUUUUGGACAGAUUCGUGGGAGUAAACUUCAGAACCGAAUCAGGUGUGUUGAUUUUCUGUCUGUUGGGUUUGAGAAUUAUUACCUGAUAACCUUCCUGUAGAGUGCUGAAUCAAGUUUAUUUGCUAUACAUUAUGUAUUCUCAGCUAGCUCUUAACUGUUGUUGCUUAUUAUUCUUACUAAAUGAAAGAGAGGGAGGGGACAAGUAGAUUAUUGUUAAAAUGAACCAGUGAGCCUUUGUUGGUAGAGUUGCUAACUAAAAGUACAUGUGUACUACUUUCUUUGUAAAUAUUGGGGUCACCCUGUGCAAGAAGUCUUUUUAUCUGUAGUUUUUUUUUUCUGCUGCCAACUUUAUCUUCGUCGAAGAUUCUUUGUGGGUAAAGCAGAAACUGAUCGGGUGUUCUCAUACGUGGCAGUGCUUCUCCACCGCCUCUUGAAGCAGCGUCUGUACCACGUGGAAUGGUUACAAUGCGUUGUGAUAUGACAACUUGCAGUUCUUCUCAUGUGUCACUUCUUGUUUCUGGGAGUGCACAAACUUGUUUUGAUGAUCAGGUACAGAUUAGCCCAUACUUGAGACCUUUCUUGACUGACCACACAAACUCAUAUGGUGCUUACUAUGUCUGCAGCUUCUAGAAAGCCACAUAAAAAAUGAACUCAUCGAGAAGAGCCAGCUAGUCCGUGCUCUACCAAACAGCGAGGAUAAGCUCUCAUCGACCGAGCCUUUCACUUCUAUGUCCACAGCUUGUGGUGCUUCUACCUUUGAAGUCUGGAUGACCCUUCCUAAGUGGGCAGCACAGGUUGGUUUAAUAGAUUGAAUGCAACAGAUAUGCAACAAAUUUGAAUUCCAUGGUGUGCUGAUAUCGCUUGGCUACUUCUAUUCGUAUUGUCUACGCAUGUGAUUCAGUUUGCUACUUCUAAUGCUCCUAUUAUGUGGACUCCUUAUGACCUUUUUUUAUGCCCCACGCCUGAGUUGUUUACAUAUGAAUCUUUUUUCGUUUAUAUCUGAUGACCGAACAUUAUUUUCUGGAUAUUUAGGUUUUGAAGCAUCUAGCACCAGAAAUUUCAUACAGGAGCCUAGUUGCACUUGGAGUUGGCUGCGUAAAUGCUACUCCUGUUGCUUCAUUCGAGAGGCAAGAUGCAGACCGCCUUCUUUUCUUCUGCACCGGUCAAAGGAAAGAUUCAGCUGGUGAAGGUGGCCCAUAUUUUCAUCUGCCAAGAUGGUCAGCCUCCCUUACCAAGGACAGAGCAAAGACGGGUUCAGAAUCAAAAUCAAAUUUGUUAGUUGUGAAUGGAACUUCAGAGGACAGGAAAGCUCCAGUUGAAGGGCCUUCCUCGCUGACAUCCUUCAAGGGAAAAUUGAAGCCUGCAACUAUGAGGCCUAUUCCUCACUCUCGACAGCAGCAAAUGCAUCCUUUUAUGGGUUUCCCUGAAGCUAACGUUCACGAAACUAGUCAGGCCAAGCCAAACUUGCCAGUUGCUCCACCUGUUAAGCAUCAUAAUUCAGCACCUGCUUCUACAACAGCGCAUAGGAAAUCUACUUCAGGGCCAUCUCAUGCUCAAUCGAUCAUUCAGCUGAAUCCACUUCCCAUGAAGAAACAUGGGUGUGAUCGGUUGCCUAUCCAAGUGUGCUCCGAGGUAUGCUUCUUUGAGCUUGAUGAGGACGGAAUAUCUCUAUACUAAGACCACUACACCAAGCUAGAAUAAUGGGUCUGUUCUUUGACCUUUUGCAGGAGGACUUUCUGAAGGAUGUCAUGCAAUUUUUAAUUCAGAGGGGCCACCAUCGACUCGUUCCUCAUGGAGGUCUAGCUGAAUUUCCUGAUGCAGUCCUUAAUGCAAAGCGCCUUGAUCUCUAUAACUUGUACAAAGAGGUAAUUCUGCACUUCUGCUUACAAUGUACUCUAAUGAUUAUAGAGGUACAAAUAAAUGUGCAUUUUGUUAAUUAUUGUUCCCUGACAAAGGUUUUUGUUUUUUCAGGUGGUGUCCAGGGGUGGCUUUUAUGUGGGCAAUGGUAUAAACUGGAAGGGUCAAGUCUUUUCGAAGAUGCGAAACCACACCGUAACAAAUAGAAUGACUGUAAGUAUCCACUAUUCACUUCGCUUAGAUAGAAUUAUUGAAUUUUGUUAUAUCUUUUAGCUAUCAAAAUGCUGGAGAACAAGGGAACAACCUGUGUGUUGGCCAUUUCUAAAAGUAUUUUUCCAUUUCAAUUUUAACAUGUGCUUACUUAGGUUUGAUCUGGUCUCCAUGAUAACAAUUAAUUACUGCCUUCAAUUUUUCUCUGAAAUUUCAUGAUCACUUCCAUUAGCUCCCUUCAUAGCAAGUUAGCUUUACUGCUGCUGGUCGAGUGAAAUGCUGAACGUGUUCUAAUUUUGCACUUGCCUGUGUAUAUUUAGGGUGUCGGGAACACACUGAAAAGACACUACGAGACUUACUUGCUGGAAUAUGAGCUAUCACAUGACGACGUGGAUGGGGAAUGCUGUUUGCUUUGUCACAGGUCCGAUCCUUUCUGCCAUUAUGUUUGCUUUGGAUUUCAAGUUUGUCACUGAAACCUAACACCAUCUUUGUACAUAAUAAUUUCAGUAGCGCUCCUGGAGAUUGGGUGAACUGUGGUUUAUGCGGCGAAUGGGCUCAUUUCGGUUGUGAUAGACGGCAAGGGCUGGGCACUUUCAAGGUAAAAACUUGUCUUCUUUGAUCCCCACCCCCUCUCCAUGAUAACUCGUCUAACGAUUGGUCUUCUUCUACCUUGCAGGAUUACGCGAAGACAGACGGGUUGGAAUACAUCUGCCCGCAUUGUAGUAUAGCGAAUUACAAGAAGAAGCCUCCGCCGCCCCAGAAAGUAGCCAACGGGUUUGCGAAUACCGUGCUGCCUGUAUCACGGAAUGUUUAAUCCUCUUCUUUUCUUGCUUUUCCUUUUUUUCGCCUCUCUGCCCUAGGUUUCGGGGUGAUGCGUCGGUGGUAGGGUAUAGGCCUGAUAGAGGGGGGAGGCUUUUGUAGUGUUGAUCUGUAUUAUCCCAUUAAUUUGGUUCAGUGUAGGAGCUCAAGUCUUUUAUAGCCUGUAACAACCGACAACACAGGGAGGCUACUUACUGCAGUAGUUGGCCAGAUUCAGUGUAAGCACCUGUUGAUAUAAGUUAAUCUGUAUCCCCGGUUCCAGCCACCAGACUGCUUGUGUUGUCCUUCGCUCGCUCUAGUCGUCUCGGAAUUCAGAUCUUCUGAAUGUUGGAUGUUGUGAAUUGAGGUGCAGAAUCAGUGUACAUUGAACUGCCAGUUUCGUCACGAUAUGACUAUGAUCAUCGCGGCAAUGAGACAGGCAGGUGGAUAUACCAGGUUUGCACUUCGCAGAGCCAAAGUGUAUUAAAGCAACACAGGCUUAAUUUACAGGGAAGGACCAACACACUGCUGGCAAAGUUUAUUUAUUUGCAGUACAACACAGGCUUAAUUUACAGGGUAGUGAAAGUUUAUUUAUUGGUAGUACAACACAGGCUUAAUUUACAGGGUAGGGUAGAUCACACCGCCUUCAGGGCUCUGACCGGCCUGUGGCUUGUGUAGCUGAAGAUGCACAUCAGCUUCGGUCGCGGAACUCGUUCAUGAAGGACUCGUGGAACUCCUUGAGGCGCGGGAUCAUCUCCUUGAUCUUCUCCUCGCCCGGGAGGAUCGUGCACCGGAUAUGACAUGUCCCGGUGGCCUUGUUGCGCCCAGACACCUUUGUUGCGUCCAUGGAAGUCGUUUGCAACAAGAUCAAAGGCCACCAGAGUCAGGCAACUAACA
RNAcentral lists this long non-coding RNA (43977 nucleotides) under Triticum aestivum (bread wheat). RNAcentral describes it as "long non-coding RNA (TAES_LNC005719)". Lineage: Eukaryota; Viridiplantae; Streptophyta; Magnoliopsida; Poales; Poaceae. The record is from RNAcentral.